Rhea pennata is the source of this 2852-nucleotide long non-coding RNA. RefSeq lists it as uncharacterized. NCBI's taxonomy places the organism in Eukaryota, Metazoa, Chordata, Aves, Rheiformes, Rheidae. The record is from RefSeq and is a predicted model, not a curated record. The transcript has 2 exons.
CUUCCGCGUCCCCCGGCGCGGGCGCCCCCGGCUCGCGGGGCGGCGGCGGCCGAGGCGCUCCGGGAGCUGCCUGUCCCAGGGGGCAGCGGCUCCAAAGGACUGGACCCUUUGGAAGGGGAUCCAGCCGCCCCCUUUUUGAGGACGUUUCCCUGAAUCAGCUAAGACAACGCCCUGCAUCCCGGCAGGAUAUUUUAAACCCUCUUCCAGAAUCUGAUUGAUGAAAACUAGUGAAAAAGAUGAGACGUUGUACUAGACAAGAGAAAAUUGGCUGCUCCUUUCAGGAAUUGUGCCAAAAGACUUUGCAUCCAAAGACAUUUUCCCCACAAAGACUGAUGUUCUGAGAUGCAGCUGCACCCCUCUAACCACAGUUAGCUGUUUCUAAGUCUGUGUCUAAUACCCCCUUUUCUAGGGUCAGAGUUACUCGGUCUUGCCCAGGAACAAGUUUUCUGUGACACUACAGUUACCACUGUGCUGCAACAUAGUAGGUAGUGGGUAUAACACCGUUUAUGCUGACCAAGCAGUGUGAGUCCUGCGGUCCAACAGCCUGAAUCAAAGUCAUGCACAGCAUACAUAAGUCCCUUACACAGCUGAUCAUUCAUUUAAUCCUCUUUUAUUCUGAUUUGCUCAAUUACUUCAACCAGGUGCUAGGCAUACACUCAGGCCCCAGGUAUCUGCAGAACAAUGUGUUCAGUUCAACCUAUACAUCUUAAAUCAGAAUUUAACAUUUUUAGAGCUGCACCUUCUCCUGCUACAACACCACUGGUGUCUUUCACCAAUAUUUUGAGCCCUUUGAUGGACUAUGGUCAUGCUCUUAAGCUUCCUAUUCUUUCAGUUGCAAAAGUACAAUGAUUAGAUUUUAUUCAGAUUUUAUUGCCUUAGCCUGCAGAAGAGACCUAAUCUGACCUGAUGUGAUUUGGAAAUUCCUCUGCUUGUGGCAAUACCGUGAACCUUGCUAACCUGUUUUUCCAUUACUUCAUGAUGCUGCAUGCUGAUGAUGUCAGCAGUAUCAGCACUUUCACUUACUUCAGGCAUUUUUAGCUCUAUUGACUCAGCAAGAGCAUAAUGGAAGUUUAACAUGCUUUUACAAGGACCAAGGUAAGGUGCAAGUAUCCUCUGAAACGAAACAAUGCUUUUAGUGAUUCUGGCCGUGCUGUUUCAGCUUCGUCUGUGCUGCAAUGCUGAGAGCAUUGAAAUAGGAAGUUUAUCAAACAAAAGAUUUUGGCUAGCUAUGCCAGGGGUGCAGGACUGCACAGCUGCUGACAGAGCAGACGUGCUAGUAUUGUUAGAGGUGCUUUCUGCCAGACUUGUGCAAGUGAUGCAGCUGACAUCAGUAAUAGCUGUGGUAUGAUUGCUGGAGUGUACAUGACUGUAAAUUGUGCUCUGAUCCAUAUUUGCAGAGGGUUGCUGUAAUUGAAUGCCUCAUUAAUUAGCAAUUACAAGAUGGGUCACUAGUGUCUGCUAAGUGGCCUAGUGUAAUACAUAAAUCCGGUUCUUAAAACCCCUCAAAUCCUGGGAUUGGUUUGAGGUCAAUGCUGAAGGGAUUCAGACGUCAAUAGUCAAGAGAGGCCUUGGCAGCUGAUUCAUAUAUUUUUUCAGCAUUUUAACUGUCCCUAAAAUGCAUUCUUUUUGACUGAAACUAAGCCUCAUUGAAUAGUUAUCAGCCACAGCAGAGUACAUUUGAGGUCACUUUAUUAAAGUAUGAUAUGCAUGUGACUGCUUUAGGCAUAGGUGUUUCUGAGAUUGGGGUGGAGAGGCCAAGUGCACUUUUACCUUCCCUCCCUCCCUCCCUCUCUCUUUUUUUUUCUCCUUCUGUCCUUUCUCUCUCUCUUCUCUUUCUCCUUCUCUUUUCUUUCUCCUUUUCUUGACAAAUUAUUUUUACAUAAGGUUUCUUAGGAACUGGUAACAGUGAUUAUGACAUUAGCUGGAGUUUUGUUGUCUUCCAUAAUCUCUGGUUCAUAGAAAAUAGAGACCUUGUGAGAGAUUUGAAUCCAGACCCUUAACCAGUUGCAGGGGGAGUCAUCAGAGAUGGGCAUUUGUCUAACCCUUUCCUAACAUGUUCCUAAGGACUUCUAAUAAUAAAGGAAUCGGUACCACCCAAAAGAAUUGCAGCAUUAGAAAUUCUUAGUAUUAGGAAGGUUGUUCAAGUGUCUAACCUAAAUUGGUGUUUGCUUAAAUUUAAGUCUAGUAGUUCUUGUCUUCCUCACUGCAGGUGUGACGGGCAACUUAUUCCCCAUGUCUCUGUAACAGUUGUCACCUGUCUAAAUAUUAUCAUGUCUCCUUUUGCCUUCUCCAGACUAGUGAAUUUUACAAUUUUCUUCAUGAAUCAUGGAUGCUAGACAGUGGAGGUGGGUGUUAAGCUGGAGCUGAUCCUAUGUAUCACUGGUGGGCUUUGAGCAUUACCUGUUAAAUGCACUUGAGCAGACCAUUACUAAGAUCCCAAUUCAGCAGGAUACUGCAUCACAUCUGGCAUUUUAAGCACACGAGUAAGCCUGCUACUGUCCAUGUGACUACUACUGUUUGAACUGUAGGAGUUUGAAGGGGCUUACAGUACGCUGUAAAAAUACAGAACAGAACUGUUUUACAGGCAUAUUGGGUUGGCAGUGAAAAAUGCAGGCCAGAAAACAAACUUGGAGGGGUUUGAUGACCUUCGCCUCGUGAUUACUGGGUAAGGCUGGCUUUAUGAAGUACGUGUCGUGUCUGCAUUCUAGUUAUCUGUAAUGCUGUACAUUGUGACUCAUUUCAGAGUUUGUGCACAACAGCACAAGAUCUUAAAAAUGCUUAUUUGAUAACAAAGGUGACUCCUUCUCCCUAGUUCUCCCAUUACCUCUGAUGAUUAAAGAAUUUAUCUGGCA